UGAGUACAUGUAGGUAUCUACCCUUUGGCCUGGAAUAACACGAGGAAACUUGUGCUAAUACCGGAUAAGUCUUUACGGAGAAAGCUUUAUGCACCAUUGGAUGAGCCUGCACUUGAUUAGUUUGUUGGUGGGGUAAUGGCCUACCAAGACUGUGAUCAAUAGCUGAUUUGAGAGGAUGAUCAGCCACAUUGGGACUGAGACACGGCCCAAACUCCUACGGGAGGCAGCAGUGGGGAAUCUUGCACAAUGGAGGAAACUCUGAUGCAGCGAUGCCGCGUGAGUGAAGAAGGCCUUUGGGUUGUAAAGCUCUUUCGUCGGGGAAGAAAAUGACUGUACCCGAAUAAGAAGGUCCGGCUAACUUCGUGCCAGCAGCCGCGGUAAUACGAAGGGACCUAGCGUAGUUCGGAAUUACUGGGCUUAAAGAGUUCGUAGGUUGUUGAAAAAGUUGGUGGUGAAAUCCCAGAGCUUAACUCUGGAACUGCCAUCAAAACUUUUCAGCUAGAGUAUGAUAGAGGAAAGCAGAAUUUCUAGUGUAGAGGUGAAAUUCGUAGAUAUUAGAAAGAAUACCAAUUGCGAAGGCAGCUUUCUGGAUCAUUACUGACACUGAGGAACGAAAGCAUGGGUAGCGAAGAGGAUUAGAUACCCUCGUAGUCCAUGCCGUAAACGAUGUGUGUUAGACGUUGGAAAUUUAUUUUCAGUGUCGCAGCGAAAGCGAUAAACACACCGCCUGGGGAGUACGACCGCAAGGUUAAAACUCAAAUGAAUUGACGGGGACCCGCACAAGUAGUGGAGCAUGUGGUUUAAUUCGAAGAUACGCGCAGAACCUUACCAACACUUGACAUGUUCGUCGCGACUUUAAGAGAUUAAAGUUUUCGGUUCGGCCGGACGAAAC
This 892-nucleotide ribosomal RNA is filed under the name marine metagenome. Its description in RNAcentral is "bacterial SSU rRNA". It matches the Rfam family "Bacterial small subunit ribosomal RNA", at positions 107 to 1033 of the family's 1533-position model. The record is from RNAcentral.